CGGCGAGUGGCGAACGGGUGAGUAAUAUAUUGGAACGUACCGAGUAAUGGGGGAUAACCAAUCGAAAGAUUGGCUAAUACCGCAUACGCUCUGAGGAGGAAAGCAGGGGACCUUCGGGCCUUGCGUUAUUCGAGCGGCCAAUAUCUGAUUAGCUAGUUGGUGGGGUAAAGGCCUACCAAGGCGACGAUCAGUAGCGGGUCUGAGAGGAUGAUCCGCCACACUGGGACUGAGACACGGCCCAG
Molecule: ribosomal RNA, 242 nt
Filed under: uncultured bacterium
Lineage: Bacteria
Description: partial 16S ribosomal RNA
Rfam family: Bacterial small subunit ribosomal RNA
Source: RNAcentral